RNAcentral lists this ribosomal RNA (253 nucleotides) under uncultured bacterium. RNAcentral describes it as "partial 16S ribosomal RNA". It matches the Rfam family "Bacterial small subunit ribosomal RNA", at positions 524 to 776 of the family's 1533-position model. The record is from RNAcentral.
UACGGAGGGAGCUAGCGUUGUUCGGAAUUACUGGGCGUAAAGCGCGCGUAGGCGGCUUGCCAAGUUGGGGGUGAAAGCCCGGGGCUCAACCUCGGAAAUGCCUUCAAAACUGGCGAGCUAGAAUCCUGGAGAGGUGAGUGGAAUUCCUAGUGUAGAGGUGAAAUUCGUAGAUAUUAGGAAGAACACCAGUGGCGAAGGCGACUCACUGGCCAGGUAUUGACGCUGAGGUGCGAAAGCGUGGGGAGCAAACAGG